ACAAAUUCAUCCAACUUACACCAAGAACUUAACAUAAAUUAACUCAUCUAUUAGAACCAAAAAGAAAAUAUGAUAGGAUUUCUUGGGUUCUCACCUCCAAACUCCUUCAAAGUUGUUCAUCAAUCUGCCACUUCACUACUACGCUCUUAAAUCAACUUCAUCACCACGAAUCCUUAACAAGAACCCUGAAAUUACGAGUUAAACACUUCAAUCUCAAACUUGUUCGAAAAUGAAACUUGGAAUUCGAAAGAUCCACUUACAAAUCCUGGAAGUGCAUGAUGAGAGGAGUAUUUUUCUCUCUUUGGUCAAGACCCAUCUCGGGCGAGGUUGGCCAGAAUCGGCGAAAAACCCAUGAAAACUGUCGAAACUUCUAGGCUUCAAUAUAUGAGCACGCUUGGUUCUAGCAUAUGGUUUUGGUAUCAAAUUGAAUAGGGCUUCACUAUGAUGAACACAUAGCCUUCGACCAUUCGUGAUUUCGUUGCCGUAUGAGAAAGUUAUCAUUUUUGGAGUGAAGAAGAAGAAUUAAGGGGGAGAAGAACAAAAUAGCCUCCCUGCUACAUCUGCUAGCCGGGGAAAGAAAAAAGAAGAUAAGCCUUUGGCUUCUAGAAUACUCCCUCCCAAAAUUACCAUUUUGCCCUCCAACUUUAAAAAUUCUUAACUACUCGUUCUAACUCUGAAUUCACAUCCGUUUGUGACCACGCGUUCAUUACGAUAAUUAUUAUUUAAAUAAAAUAAAUAUUUCUCACCAAGUGUCUUGAACUUGAAGGUCCCACAAAAGAUGAAAUUACCCACCAUCUUGUUUUCCAACGAGUUCCACAUAAUCAUACAAAAAUGAAUAACCAAAUCAUACAUCUAAAAAUACAUAGGGUAUUACAAUUUUUCAUAAAGAAAUAGUGCAUGAAGUUAACUUUGGAGGGAAAAUUACAUGUUAGAUUCGCAACUUAUAUGAAAUGUUAACGGCUUAUAGGCAAGAAAAUGAAGGUAUAACACUCUAAAAUAAAGUGUUUCAAGUGACUUAAGUUGACGAAAAAAUGAAUAAAAUAGUUUUAAAUAUAAUAGUAGGGAUGAAAUUAACAAUUUUUAAUGAAUUUAAGAAUUUAUUUUACUGAAAAAUAAUUAAAAGAGCCAAUGUUAUUGAGAUGAUACUUUGAAAACUAAAUCGGUAUUUCAUUCAAAAAAAAAUUGUAGGCGAAGUUAGCCUUGGAUGAUGGUAAGUUAUAUGGCACAAGUGUGCUGCUAUGUUUGUUUACUCGUACGUCUUAUUUUUUCCCUUAUCUUAUAACUCAAACAUAAAGGACUAUUAAUAUUAAUAUAAGGUGAACGAUAUCAGAGGACAAGUGGGUAGGCAGUCUGACAGAGUUAGGAGCAAUUAAGUAUGAACGGUCAGAUCACCAAAAUAUAUGAACAAACACAUCAAGAAAAAUGUUGUAAAGUGGGCCGAAUGUGUGUUUAAUAUUGCAUUAAUUUACUAAUUUGUUAGCGUUUAAGAGUUUAUAUAUAUAUA
This 1504-nucleotide long non-coding RNA is filed under the name Malus domestica (apple). Its description in RNAcentral is "long non-coding RNA (MDOM_LNC012494)". The record is from RNAcentral. Lineage: Eukaryota; Viridiplantae; Streptophyta; Magnoliopsida; Rosales; Rosaceae.